RNAcentral lists this unclassified non-coding RNA (423 nucleotides) under fungal sp. Its description in RNAcentral is "partial internal transcribed spacer region". The stretch from base 1 to 44 matches the Rfam family "Eukaryotic small subunit ribosomal RNA", at positions 1788 to 1831 of the family's 1831-position model. Lineage: Eukaryota; Fungi. The record is from RNAcentral.
GUCGUAACAAGGUUUCCGUAGGUGAACCUGCGGAAGGAUCAUUACCACACCAAGAUCCAAGAUCUUAUCUAUUGUGAAUUUAGCCGGCUUGUUGGCUCAACACUAUACAUUACGUGUAGUGGUCAACUCGCCGGCUGGACUAGUAAAGCAGCAAACCGGUGCUUUCUUGAUCUUUUCUGCAUCUUGAAGAAAGAAACUUGUGCGUUUGAGUACAAGGCAGAUCUGAUCGAGGGGUGCCCUCCACAAAAAAAUACAGGUAGUGAAACUAAAAUCUAAGACAAAGCGAGGCAUUGACUAGUAACAGGAAGAAACGAGUUAGCAUACAACACCCGUGUUGAUUAAUGCUAGCACACUACUGCCAAAAUUGAGCUAAGCAUACCAGAAAUUCAUUACAACUUUCAGCGAUGGAUGUCUAGGUUCCCA